Molecule: ribosomal RNA, 2893 nt
Filed under: Pseudomonas amygdali pv. lachrymans
Lineage: Bacteria; Pseudomonadati; Pseudomonadota; Gammaproteobacteria; Pseudomonadales; Pseudomonadaceae
Also listed under: 2 other names
Description: 23S ribosomal RNA
Rfam family: Bacterial large subunit ribosomal RNA
Source: RNAcentral
GGUCAAGUGAAGAAGCGCAUACGGUGGAUGCCUUGGCAGUCAGAGGCGAUGAAAGACGUGGUAGCCUGCGAAAAGCUUCGGGGAGUCGGCAAACAGACUGUGAUCCGGAGAUGUCUGAAUGGGGGAACCCAGCCAUCAUAAGAUGGUUAUCUUGUACUGAAUACAUAGGUGCAAGAGGCGAACCAGGGGAACUGAAACAUCUAAGUACCCUGAGGAAAAGAAAUCAACCGAGAUUCCCUUAGUAGUGGCGAGCGAACGGGGACCAGCCCUUAAGUUGUAUUGAGAUUAGCGGAACGUUCUGGAAAGGACGGCCAUAGUGGGUGAUAGCCCUGUACGCGAAAAUCCCUUUGCAAUGAAAUCGAGUAGGACGGGGCACGAGAAACCUUGUCUGAAUAUGGGGGGACCAUCCUCCAAGGCUAAAUACUACUGACUGACCGAUAGUGAACCAGUACCGUGAGGGAAAGGCGAAAAGAACCGCGGAGAGCGGAGUGAAAUAGAUCCUGAAACCGUAUGCGUACAAGCAGUGGGAGCCCACUUUGUUGGGUGACUGCGUACCUUUUGUAUAAUGGGUCAGCGACUUAUUUUCAGUGGCGAGCUUAACCGAAUAGGGGAGGCGUAGCGAAAGCGAGUCUUAAUAGGGCGUCUAGUCGCUGGGAAUAGACCCGAAACCGGGCGAUCUAUCCAUGGGCAGGUUGAAGGUUGGGUAACACUAACUGGAGGACCGAACCGACUACCGUUGAAAAGUUAGCGGAUGACCUGUGGAUCGGAGUGAAAGGCUAAUCAAGCUCGGAGAUAGCUGGUUCUCCUCGAAAGCUAUUUAGGUAGCGCCUCAUGUAUCACUGUAGGGGGUAGAGCACUGUUUCGGCUAGGGGGUCAUCCCGACUUACCAAACCGAUGCAAACUCCGAAUACCUACAAGUGCCGAGCAUGGGAGACACACGGCGGGUGCUAACGUCCGUCGUGAAAAGGGAAACAACCCAGACCGUCAGCUAAGGUCCCAAAGUCAUGGUUAAGUGGGAAACGAUGUGGGAAGGCUUAGACAGCUAGGAGGUUGGCUUAGAAGCAGCCACCCUUUAAAGAAAGCGUAAUAGCUCACUAGUCGAGUCGGCCUGCGCGGAAGAUGUAACGGGGCUCAAACCAUGCACCGAAGCUACGGGUAUCAUCUUAUGAUGAUGCGGUAGAGGAGCGUUCUGUAAGCCUGUGAAGGUGAGUUGAGAAGCUUGCUGGAGGUAUCAGAAGUGCGAAUGCUGACAUGAGUAACGACAAUGGGUGUGAAAAACACCCACGCCGAAAGACCAAGGUUUCCUGCGCAACGUUAAUCGACGCAGGGUUAGUCGGUCCCUAAGGCGAGGCUGAAAAGCGUAGUCGAUGGAAAACAGGUUAAUAUUCCUGUACUUCUGGUUAUUGCGAUGGAGGGACGGAGAAGGCUAGGCCAGCCUGGCGUUGGUUGUCCAGGUUUAAGGUGGUAGGCUGAGAUCUUAGGUAAAUCCGGGAUCUCAAGGCCGAGAGCUGAUGACGAGUGUUCUUUAGAACACGAAGUGGUUGAUGCCAUGCUUCCAAGAAAAGCUUCUAAGCUUCAGGUAACCAGGAACCGUACCCCAAACCGACACAGGUGGUUGGGUAGAGAAUACCAAGGCGCUUGAGAGAACUCGGGUGAAGGAACUAGGCAAAAUGGCACCGUAACUUCGGGAGAAGGUGCGCCGGUGAGGGUGAAGCAUUUACUGCGUAAGCCCACGCCGGUCGAAGAUACCAGGCCGCUGCGACUGUUUAUUAAAAACACAGCACUCUGCAAACACGAAAGUGGACGUAUAGGGUGUGACGCCUGCCCGGUGCCGGAAGGUUAAUUGAUGGGGUUAGCGCAAGCGAAGCUCUUGAUCGAAGCCCCGGUAAACGGCGGCCGUAACUAUAACGGUCCUAAGGUAGCGAAAUUCCUUGUCGGGUAAGUUCCGACCUGCACGAAUGGCGUAACGAUGGCGGCGCUGUCUCCACCCGAGACUCAGUGAAAUUGAAAUCGCUGUGAAGAUGCAGUGUAUCCGCGGCUAGACGGAAAGACCCCGUGAACCUUUACUAUAGCUUUGCACUGGACUUUGAAUUUGCUUGUGUAGGAUAGGUGGGAGGCUUUGAAGCGUGGACGCCAGUCUGCGUGGAGCCAACCUUGAAAUACCACCCUGGCAACUUUGAGGUUCUAACUCAGGUCCGUUAUCCGGAUCGAGGACAGUGUAUGGUGGGUAGUUUGACUGGGGCGGUCUCCUCCUAAAGAGUAACGGAGGAGUACGAAGGUGCGCUCAGACCGGUCGGAAAUCGGUCGUAGAGUAUAAAGGCAAAAGCGCGCUUGACUGCGAGACAGACACGUCGAGCAGGUACGAAAGUAGGUCUUAGUGAUCCGGUGGUUCUGUAUGGAAGGGCCAUCGCUCAACGGAUAAAAGGUACUCCGGGGAUAACAGGCUGAUACCGCCCAAGAGUUCAUAUCGACGGCGGUGUUUGGCACCUCGAUGUCGGCUCAUCACAUCCUGGGGCUGAAGCCGGUCCCAAGGGUAUGGCUGUUCGCCAUUUAAAGUGGUACGCGAGCUGGGUUUAGAACGUCGUGAGACAGUUCGGUCCCUAUCUGCCGUGGACGUUUGAGAUUUGAGAGGGGCUGCUCCUAGUACGAGAGGACCGGAGUGGACGAACCUCUGGUGUUCCGGUUGUCACGCCAGUGGCAUUGCCGGGUAGCUAUGUUCGGAAAAGAUAACCGCUGAAAGCAUCUAAGCGGGAAACUUGCCUCAAGAUGAGAUCUCACUGGAACCUUGAGUUCCCUAAAGGGCCGUCGAAGACUACGACGUUGAUAGGUUGGGUGUGUAAGCGCUGUGAGGCGUUGAGCUAACCAAUACUAAUUGCCCGUGAGGCUUGACCAU